CCUACCUAGAGAUUUUUUAAAAGACCCCUCUUGCUCAAAAAUCUUCAGGGGCCCCAUAUUGUCUUUUAAGUACUAUUCAGACUCCUCUGACUUUUAAGGCCUUCUAUAAUCUCUUUUAUUUCAGCUUACACUAUACAUUUGGCAAAGUUCCUGAAAGAUACCCUAAUAAUUGUCAUUUAUUUUAGUAAUAAAAGGUCACGACCCAUUAUUUAUGGAGAAAGGAAAUGGAAUACAAAUAUACUUUAGGAAUCACUGCUGUGACUUUUAAGAUUCUCAGUGUUCACUAAAUAUUCCUUCUUAAAAUGCCUUACUCCCCUUUUUAGAUUCACAAAGCAUUUUACAUGGCUUCAUCCUCACAGAAAUUCUACCAAGAAGGUGCCAUUAUUAUCUCUUUUUUAUGUAUGGUGAAACUUAGGCUCAGAGACAUUGAGACUUGCUCAGGAUUAAAGAGCUUGUAUGUGCUUGAGGUAGGAAUUGAAUUUGAGACUUCCUGGAUCCAAAUCGAGCAUUAUUGUCAUGCAAUCACACAGUGAUCCAGGGUAGCAGUAGAGGCAGUCAUUGUUUUGGAAUGACUUGAGGGAACCAAUUUUUUUGAGAAAAAACACAUCUGUGCACUCUAAAAGCUCACUUAAUGUGUGUGCACCUGCUACAAAUAGAAUCAGGACUUUUCUAAAUUGAUGUAUGCAUAAGUGGCUGUUACUUCCAAAGUGUGGUUUAUAAAAAUCCAAUCUAAGUUAUAACAAUGGACUCUUUGCAUGUGAUAAUUAACACAACUUUAGACUAUGAGCUCAUACUGCUUAGGCCACAGUCCAAGUAUUAACUAGCAAGCAUUCAUUAGUAAGAGUAUAAACUAAUUAGUAUGUGAAAACAGUACAAUCGAAUUGUCUGCAGGUAGGCUAAGCUGGACAAAUUUCAUCAAAAUUAUCGACAUCUACAAGUGCUUAAGUGCUUGCUCUGCUGAGCUCUCCAACACUCCCUGCCUAUAGCAUUGCCCCCUGUCCUGUGAGAAUUACAAAUAUGCAUCCUAAAUCCUAAUAGAAAUAACAUAUUUCAUCUCUUAUUUUGGAUUCAAUCUGUUAACUAUCCUUCUUACUGUGAGCCAAAUAUAAUCUCAAUUUUCCCCAUCACUUUUAAAGAACUGCACCAGUUCUCAGCAGCAUUCAAUUUAUAUUUUGCAUGUUAAGUGAAAUUAUUAGUUAUAUAUUAAAAAUAACCAGUUGAAAUAUAAGCACCCAGGAUUUUCAUCAAGGUGAAAGGUGCCUUAUAGUGGAAUCUGGAACAAAUGUUGUUGCAAUUCUACAAGCAAUUGAGAGUAUAACCUUGGAGAAAAAAGAAAUAAAAGUUUCUGGUGUCUGUUGGCAGUGGACACAGAAAAUAAUUUUGUGUGCCAAUGGAAAUGUCUAAGGCACAAAUAAGAUGAAAGUUAAAUAAUUAUCUCCCUGCUUCUCUUUCCGUCCUUUUUCUCCUCCUCUUCACCUUGUGUCUUUUUUCCUCUUUCUUCCAAAUGUUUGCUUGUUCCAAAUAAGGUAGGCUGCUAUGCAUGGGCCAUAUCCAGGCUUCAAGAUGAGCCUUUUAAUUUUGACAUAAAUUUCCCGGAUGAAAAAGGUCUCCUUUCAAAACCUUGGCUGAUUGAGAGCAAAUAGAGAUUGAAUAGACUAAUGAAUAAGUAGAAUUACCAUGGUUACCCUGAACUGAGGGGCCCCCUCUCUAAAAGGAUCCUGCUCUUGGCUCUCAUGAAGCCUGGAAUUUUCUGGGGUUGGUCUGACCCCUCCCUUCCACCCAACAUCAAGUUUUUCUCCCACUCUGUAGUUUGUUUUGCCCUCUCCUCAGAAUAGAACUCCAGGGAAGAUCCCUAAACAAAACUUAAUAAUGAAUCAUUUUCAAGGUUUCCCCCAAAGGGAGUAAAAGAGUCCUGUCCAGAAAAGAUAUUCACUAUACAAAAUUGAUAUAGAAGAAAUCACAAAGGAAAUUCUUGAAACAGAAAAGUCUCGUUUUUCACAUAGACAAAUAUUUUAAAUUUGGCUAUCUCUUAUUAUGUAGUAGGACAUUUAUUUGGGAUAAUUCAAUAGGUAUUCAUUCACAUUUACCCAGCAUCUAAAGUUUUCCAGCAACAAGCAAGUCCAGAUCUCUUGGGAAGCCAGCUAUGACUUUUUUUAGUCUAUUCAGGUUCAGGGUGCCCAUAGCCUCAUGGCUAUAUGCUUGGAGGAAGGAGGGGAGGACUCUGAUGUACCUCAAAAGAAAAAUUGACAGAAUUUCCAAGAGAAACAUUCAAAGGUUAAGAAUGGAUAUGGAUAAACUGGAAUGUUAUCAAAGGUCAGCAUGUGAAUGGUGUGAUUUUUCUGAGAUCAUGAAAUUCCAUGAUCCACAGCUACUUGCCAUCAAAGGGAAGCCACUGGUGGAAAAAAGAUGCCUUUUGACAGCUGUCAACUAGGCUGUGAAUACUUUGACUCUAAUGAUCAGUGAACACACUACAGGUAAAAUGUCUUUGGAAAUGAAAUGAAAACUCACCCUUGCUCCCAACUUUCAAUUUAACCAUAGCAAGAUUGUGACCACUAUGACUAUGCUUUGGCAAAAUGAAGAAAACGAAUGUCUUAAACUAACAUUUUAUUAGACAAUGUUUUCCCAGGGAAGUAUUAGGUGAAAACAUUUCCAGAAAUGCUGGCACCUUAACAGCCCCAAGAUGGAUGUUUGUUUUCCCUGAGCCAAUGGAAACAAAACCCCAUUUGGACAUGUUGACGGGAGGACCUGACGUUUCUAAUAGGAAUGAAGGCUUGGAAACUCUCAAAAAUUGCAUAAAUGCAUGAAUACAUGAGCUCAUGGGCCUCUUGAUCUGAGGCUAACAUGGUCCCUUAGGGGCACUGGUGUAACAUAGCUGUUCUCAAGCCCAGCACAUCAAAUGUUUCACAGCUUCUCAGGCAGGCAGCUGGCCCAAAGGUGCAUUUUUCUUAGCUCACAAUCGCAAGUAAUUUAGUUUCUAAGACUAUAAUAACUCUCUAGGGGAGCUAGGGAAGAAGACAUUGGGGAGGAUUUAGCUUUCCUUAUAUAAUAGCUACACAAAAUAAAUGUGUUUUCGUGGCCAUAGUGGGAUGUUAGAUUCUAAGGAGCCACAUUUCAUCUGGGUCUGAGGGAGGGAAGUAGCUACAAAUUCUACCUAGGGCUAAGAAGAGGAGGAUAAAAACUGGAGCUUGGCACUUGGAUUGUGCAAAGAUAAUUGGGGGAUUGACUGAUCAUCCUUUUAAUAGGUUUGGAGCCUCAGUUUGCUGUGCUGAAAAAUGAAAGGGUCCCUAAGGAGCCCAUGGAUAGAUUUCAGGAAGUCCUAGAACUUGAUUGGGAAAAAUGACAUCUUUAUUUUUAUUUCUUCUCCUGGUUCCAGUUCUGAUUUUUUCAAAUAUCCCUUUCAUGACUCAGCUGCUGUUUUACUCUAGAACUUCCUUUGGACAUGCUGCCUCCUUUCUGCCACUGAAGUCUUCCUCUCUGACUCUCAGACACUUUUCAGUUGUAUGACCUUGGACACUUCAUCUGUUUGCCUCAGCUUCCUCAAAUAUAAAAUGGGAUAAGAGCACUUACCUCACAGGGUUGUUGUGAGGAUCAGAUGAAGUUAUAUUUAAAAGUGCCUGGCAAUACUUGGCAAUCUAUAAAUUAAACCAAUUGUUUAUUAUUAUUAUGAUUCUAAUCUCUCUUCUCUACUUCACCUCAUUUCAUCCUCAUCAUUGUAAGGGUCUAAGGUACGAAAAUUUACAUCAUUGCUAAUGAAAAUAGUUCAUUAUAAAAAGACCGAUAGAUCUCUUCCAUUUCUUAUCUAUUUGUUGUCCUUCUGGCAGUUUCAUCUAUGGAUAUUCUUGGGAUGAUAUGGUGCAGUUGGCUCGUAGGCCAAGCUCCCCAUAGGCUAUUAGUAGCCUUUCACCAUUCUCCUUCAGAGUGCUUUACAAAUGAGUUUCAAGACCUAUUUCCCAUCAUCCUAAUCUAUAUCUGGCCCCUUAGACCCAGAUAGCUCUGGAGGGGAAAG
Molecule: long non-coding RNA, 4006 nt
Organism: Sarcophilus harrisii (Tasmanian devil)
Lineage: Eukaryota; Metazoa; Chordata; Mammalia; Dasyuromorphia; Dasyuridae
Exons: 3
Source: RefSeq, a predicted model, not a curated record